RNAcentral lists this unclassified non-coding RNA (255 nucleotides) under Hevea brasiliensis (rubber tree). The record is from RNAcentral. Lineage: Eukaryota; Viridiplantae; Streptophyta; Magnoliopsida; Malpighiales; Euphorbiaceae.
UUCCUCCUUUUUCUUUUUUCCUUUUUUCCCUUUUGUUCAUGAUUUGGUUAACUUCUAAUACUCUUUCAACUUUUUAUUUUUUGAAUUCUCUCAAGCACUUGCAUGCAACAGAAAAUUUGAUUUCAAAAGUUAGAUGCACAAGACUUGUUUUAACAUUUACUUGUUUACCUCCCACUUGAUAUUAAAAUUUUUAAUGUUCCAUGAAAAUUGAUACUUUCCAUUGAAAAUUUACCUUUAUUGCAGCAUCAACAGACG